Triticum aestivum (bread wheat) is the source of this 135-nucleotide non-coding RNA. The record is from Rfam. Lineage: Eukaryota; Viridiplantae; Streptophyta; Magnoliopsida; Poales; Poaceae.
UUUGUACUCCCUCCGUCCCAAACUUCUUGUCUUAGAUUUGUCUAAAUACGGAUGUAUCAAGUCACAUUUUAGUAUUAGAUAUAUCCGCAUCUAGACAAAUCGAAGCCAAGUAUUUUGGGACGGAGGGAAUAUUAU